CGCAUAUUUUGCCCAGGCGGAGCUCGACCGCCCAUUCAAACGAUGAUCCAGUUCAUCGAAGAUCACCGUGAUGAUCAUGGGGCGAGCCAAUCUGCCGUGUUUUGCCGAUUGCCCCU
Molecule: regulatory RNA element, 116 nt
Rfam family: ALIL pseudoknot
Source: Rfam